UCCUCAGUAGCUCAGUGGUAGAGCGGUCGGCUGUUAGCUGAUUGGUUGUAGGUUCGAAUCCUGCUUGGGGAG
Molecule: transfer RNA, 72 nt
Organism: Nicotiana attenuata
Lineage: Eukaryota; Viridiplantae; Streptophyta; Magnoliopsida; Solanales; Solanaceae
Rfam family: tRNA
About the family: Transfer RNA (tRNA) molecules are approximately 80 nucleotides in length. Their secondary structure includes four short double-helical elements and three loops (D, anti-codon, and T loops).
Source: Rfam